Molecule: ribosomal RNA, 2443 nt
Filed under: Escherichia coli
Lineage: Bacteria; Pseudomonadati; Pseudomonadota; Gammaproteobacteria; Enterobacterales; Enterobacteriaceae
Description: bacterial LSU rRNA
Rfam family: Bacterial large subunit ribosomal RNA
Source: RNAcentral
UGUGAGCUCGAUGAGUAGGGCGGGACACGUGGUAUCCUGUCUGAAUAUGGGGGGACCAUCCUCCAAGGCUAAAUACUCCUGACUGACCGAUAGUGAACCAGUACCGUGAGGGAAAGGCGAAAAGAACCCCGGCGAGGGGAGUGAAAAAGAACCUGAAACCGUGUACGUACAAGCAGUGGGAGCACGCUUAGGCGUGUGACUGCGUACCUUUUGUAUAAUGGGUCAGCGACUUAUAUUCUGUAGCAAGGUUAACCGAAUAGGGGAGCCGAAGGGAAACCGAGUCUUAACUGGGCGUUAAGUUGCAGGGUAUAGACCCGAAACCCGGUGAUCUAGCCAUGGGCAGGUUGAAGGUUGGGUAACACUAACUGGAGGACCGAACCGACUAAUGUUGAAAAAUUAGCGGAUGACUUGUGGCUGGGGGUGAAAGGCCAAUCAAACCGGGAGAUAGCUGGUUCUCCCCGAAAGCUAUUUAGGUAGCGCCUCGUGAAUUCAUCUCCGGGGGUAGAGCACUGUUUCGGCAAGGGGGUCAUCCCGACUUACCAACCCGAUGCAAACUGCGAAUACCGGAGAAUGUUAUCACGGGAGACACACGGCGGGUGCUAACGUCCGUCGUGAAGAGGGAAACAACCCAGACCGCCAGCUAAGGUCCCAAAGUCAUGGUUAAGUGGGAAACGAUGUGGGAAGGCCCAGACAGCCAGGAUGUUGGCUUAGAAGCAGCCAUCAUUUAAAGAAAGCGUAAUAGCUCACUGGUCGAGUCGGCCUGCGCGGAAGAUGUAACGGGGCUAAACCAUGCACCGAAGCUGCGGCAGCGACGCUUAUGCGUUGUUGGGUAGGGGAGCGUUCUGUAAGCCUGUGAAGGUGUGCUGUGAGGCAUGCUGGAGGUAUCAGAAGUGCGAAUGCUGACAUAAGUAACGAUAAAGCGGGUGAAAAGCCCGCUCGCCGGAAGACCAAGGGUUCCUGUCCAACGUUAAUCGGGGCAGGGUGAGUCGACCCCUAAGGCGAGGCCGAAAGGCGUAGUCGAUGGGAAACAGGUUAAUAUUCCUGUACUUGGUGUUACUGCGAAGGGGGGACGGAGAAGGCUAUGUUGGCCGGGCGACGGUUGUCCCGGUUUAAGCGUGUAGGCUGGUUUUCCAGGCAAAUCCGGAAAAUCAAGGCUGAGGCGUGAUGACGAGGCACUACGGUGCUGAAGCAACAAAUGCCCUGCUUCCAGGAAAAGCCUCUAAGCAUCAGGUAACAUCAAAUCGUACCCCAAACCGACACAGGUGGUCAGGUAGAGAAUACCAAGGCGCUUGAGAGAACUCGGGUGAAGGAACUAGGCAAAAUGGUGCCGUAACUUCGGGAGAAGGCACGCUGAUAUGUAGGUGAAGCGACUUGCUCGUGGAGCUGAAAUCAGUCGAAGAUACCAGCUGGCUGCAACUGUUUAUUAAAAACACAGCACUGUGCAAACACGAAAGUGGACGUAUACGGUGUGACGCCUGCCCGGUGCCGGAAGGUUAAUUGAUGGGGUCAGCGCAAGCGAAGCUCUUGAUCGAAGCCCCGGUAAACGGCGGCCGUAACUAUAACGGUCCUAAGGUAGCGAAAUUCCUUGUCGGGUAAGUUCCGACCUGCACGAAUGGCGUAAUGAUGGCCAGGCUGUCUCCACCCGAGACUCAGUGAAAUUGAACUCGCUGUGAAGAUGCAGUGUACCCGCGGCAAGACGGAAAGACCCCGUGAACCUUUACUAUAGCUUGACACUGAACAUUGAGCCUUGAUGUGUAGGAUAGGUGGGAGGCUUUGAAGUGUGGACGCCAGUCUGCAUGGAGCCGACCUUGAAAUACCACCCUUUAAUGUUUGAUGUUCUAACGUUGACCCGUAAUCCGGGUUGCGGACAGUGUCUGGUGGGUAGUUUGACUGGGGCGGUCUCCUCCUAAAGAGUAACGGAGGAGCACGAAGGUUGGCUAAUCCUGGUCGGACAUCAGGAGGUUAGUGCAAUGGCAUAAGCCAGCUUGACUGCGAGCGUGACGGCGCGAGCAGGUGCGAAAGCAGGUCAUAGUGAUCCGGUGGUUCUGAAUGGAAGGGCCAUCGCUCAACGGAUAAAAGGUACUCCGGGGAUAACAGGCUGAUACCGCCCAAGAGUUCAUAUCGACGGCGGUGUUUGGCACCUCGAUGUCGGCUCAUCACAUCCUGGGGCUGAAGUAGGUCCCAAGGGUAUGGCUGUUCGCCAUUUAAAGUGGUACGCGAGCUGGGUUUAGAACGUCGUGAGACAGUUCGGUCCCUAUCUGCCGUGGGCGCUGGAGAACUGAGGGGGGCUGCUCCUAGUACGAGAGGACCGGAGUGGACGCAUCACUGGUGUUCGGGUUGUCAUGCCAAUGGCACUGCCCGGUAGCUAAAUGCGGAAGAGAUAAGUGCUGAAAGCAUCUAAGCACGAAACUUGCCCCGAGAUGAGUUCUCCCUGACUCCUUGA